CAUUUAUAGUAAGCAAUUGUGAAGUCCAGUAAAUAAUUGAUAGUCCAUGCCAGUUUAAAUAAUGGAAGUUCUUCAAAGUCUCUUAAAACUUUUUCUUUUGCUAGCUUUAGCAAUUUCUAGUGCCGAUCUGGGCCCUCUUAUACCACCCAUUAGGCUUAGCGAUAGAUAUUAUAUAUGGAAUAAAACAGCAACUUUUACUCAGGCCUUAGGAAUAUGCCAAUCUUACGGAAUGAGAAUGGCAGUGGUAAAUUCCGAAAAUGUUACUCGAGAAUUGCAGAAUGCUUUUUUAAGAUCCACACAACCUUAUACCUAUUACUGGAUAGCAGGCGUUUACCAGAACAAUGACGUAUACGAAGGAUGGACUUGGGCCACCACAUCUGAACCUUUUAAUUUCACUAGUUGGGCACCAUUUCAGCCAGAAAUCACAAGCUCAGAUAAUUGUAUCAGGUGGCCUUAUACUUGGCAGACAGAAAAUGGAAUAUGGGAAAGCGUGAAGUGUACAAAUUCUGGCGCAGCUCGAAUAUUAUGUGAAGAUCCUGAUGUCUGAUGAAAUUUUAUAUUUGUGUAAGCGGUAUCUUUAUAAGUAAUUACUCUUAAUAAAAUAUAUUAUUAAAAUCAAAAUAAUAUAUUUUCUAAUGUGAAAUAAAGUGCAAGCACUCGUUUCUGUAUUGAAGCAAGACUA
Molecule: long non-coding RNA, 682 nt
Filed under: Anthonomus grandis grandis
Lineage: Eukaryota; Metazoa; Arthropoda; Insecta; Coleoptera; Curculionidae
Description: uncharacterized LOC126742403
Source: RNAcentral